UACGAAGGGGGCUAGCGUUGCUCGGAAUCACUGGGCGUAAAGCGCACGUAGGCGGAUCUUUAAGUCAGGGGUGAAAUCCCGGGGCUCAACCCCGGAACUGCCUUUGAUACUGGGUGUCUUGAGUCCGGAAGAGGUGAGUGGAAUUGCGAGUGUAGAGGUGAAAUUCGUAGAUAUUCGCAGGAACACCAGUGGCGAAGGCGGCUCACUGGUCCGGUACUGACGCUGAGGUGCGAAAGCGUGGGGAGCAAACAGG
This 253-nucleotide ribosomal RNA is filed under the name uncultured bacterium. RNAcentral's name for it is "partial 16S ribosomal RNA". It matches the Rfam family "Bacterial small subunit ribosomal RNA", at positions 524 to 776 of the family's 1533-position model. The record is from RNAcentral.